GUGAGUAAAAAGGUUGGAGUUAAAUUCGAGGAUGUUGCCAUUGUGAGUGGAUUCAUUGAUGUGUUUCCGAGUGAAAUUGCAAGUAUGUUACCAGCUAGAGCAUUUGAGUUCACUAUAGAGUUAAAUCCUGAAACGACACCUAUAAAUGAUCUAAUUAGGACACAAUUGCAAGAGUUGUUUCGUUAAGGAGUAUGUUAGACCUAGUUCAUCACUGUGGGGAGCUCCUGUGUUGUUUGUUAAGGAGAAAGACAAGAGUAUGGAAUUAUGCAUCGAUUUUAGGGAGCUAAACACCAUCAAGAACAAGUAUCCCUUGCCUAGGAUAGAUGACAUAUUAGACCAAUUGAAUUGGGCGAGUGUGUUCUCGAAAACUGAUUUGUGUUUGAAGUACCACCAAUUUAGAAUAGCUGAUAAGGGCCUAAGACCUCAUUAGGAUUCGUAUUGUCAUUGUGGGUUUAGAAUAAUGUCUUUUAGGUUAACCAAUGCACCUGCAUUAAUUAUGGAUUUGAUGAAUGAGAUUUUCUACGAAUUCCGAAUUAAGUUCGUUAUGAUGUUAUUGAUGAUAUCCCUAUUUAUGCAAGGAAUGAGAAAGAGCAUGACAAACACUUGAGGAUUACUUGGAGACGCUUAGGAAGAAUCUAGUUUUAUUAAAUGAAGUAUACAAAUCUUGAAGUCAUAUGUGUAUAAGUGACACCGACGGAAAAUGAAGGACUAAAUUGAUUGAGAACUAUGUUACGUAAGGGAAUAAAUCUAAGAGAUGAUUUGAGUGGUCCAGGAUCGUUAGAAAUCAUUCGUUGUCUGGAAAAGAUGAAAAGAAAUACAUGAAUUGGUGCAAGAGCUAAGAGUUAAGCCCAAAAGUUAUACAUAUCCAUGAAAGGCAUAAUGAGGUUUGGUAAAAAGGAAAAGUUGACCAGAAGGAGUCUCUGUAGAUCCUGCUAAGAUUAGAGAGGUGAGUGAGUGACCUAUUCCAAGAACGUGUAUGUAUCUAAAGUUUUCUAGGCCUAGAUGACCAUUAUAGGAUGUUGUGAAAGACUUUUCGAAGAGAGAAAAACCAUUGACCAACUUGUUGAAAAAGGAAUCGAAAUUCAAGUGAAGUGAGAAAUGUGAGGAAGCUUUUUAGAUUUAGCUUUUGUCGCGUCAAUUGAAACCUUAUAAGGCUAAUUACCAAACCCAUGACCUAGAGUUAGCUGUUAUGGUGUUAUCUAUGAAUAUUUGGAGACAUUACCUUUACAGGGCAGCAUGUAAGAUCCUUACCGAGAACAAAAGUCUGAAAUUUUGGCAAUAAGGUCCAGUUGAAUCUUGGGGACGACAUUGAAAUGAGUAUUUCUUUCCACCCUGCAACCGAUAGACAGACUGAGAUUACUAACGGAAUACAUGUUGAGAUCCUGUGUUAUUGAAUUUAAGGGUAAUUGAAAAGACCAACUAGAGUGAUUGAACUUCUUCAACAAUAGUUACUAUGCGAGCUUUAAGAUGGAACCUGUUGAGGCAUUGUGUGGAUAGAAGUGUAGAAAUCCCAUUUGCUAUGAUUUUAGUGGAAAUAUAGCUUUGGGGCAUUAUUCGUCGAAGUAGAAAUAUCCAAAGUUAUUCCCUGGGAUGAGUUACGAGGGCGUAACUCGUUUUCUUUAAGGGGGUAGAAUGCGAUAGAAAUUCGCGCUUUUUACCUAUUUUUAUGGUAUUUUUAUGCAUUUGAUGCUUAUUUUUAGCAACCUUUACAUGUUGAUGCAAAGUAAAUAGGUUCUCCGCAUAAGAAAAAGGUGUUCAUGAGUAACACAAGCAACUUCAAGUUGGCAAAAGAGUGCACAUGAGUGGCACAAGUACUCCUCUAGUAAGAAUAAGUUGAAAACUCUUGAAAAAUGCGUGACUCUUCGUGUCAAGUUUCGGGACGAAACUUCUUUUAAGAGGGGUAGAUUGUAAUCCCCCGUAAUUUUAUACAUUUUGUUUAUAUAUUUUAACGUAUAUUAAUAUAUUUAAAUAUAAUUUGCAGAUUUUAGAAAUGAAUAUGUAAUUAAAAUAUAAUUAUUUUAUUUCAUUUGGAAUACUUUUAAUGAUUUACGAAAUCAAAAUGUAUUUUCGAAUUGUACGUUAAAACGAUUUCGAAUUACGAAACCACGUUCUAUUGAAAUUAGAAAACAAGUACUAAAUAUUUGGAUUCACCUAAAUUCCUACUCCUAGCCCAAUUGGGCAUAGCCCAAACCAAUAAACCCAACAAAUACUCCUUUCUCUCCUCUACUCUUACGUGAAACCAAAAGAAGAAAAAAAAAAGAGAAGCCCUCAUUCUUCAAUUCACGCACAACUCAGCCAUCUCUCCUUCCUCUCCUCCACGCCGUCGCCCUCGCUGUUGCCCAGCCACCGGACCACCACCGCUCCCGCCGGUAAGCCCUGUCCUCUCCUCAUCCUCUUUCGAUUCUCCCCUUCCCCUCUGUUUGUUUUCGAGCUUCCCUUAAUCCUUGCGUUUUCGCAGCAACCCCGUUCGCGCAGCACCACGCACGCAACCCCGGUUCGCACAGCAGCCACCGCACGCAACCACCGUGCCCAGCCCUUGCCGCGAGCCACCACCGUCCGCCGGUCAACCCUCUAUCCUCCUUAUUGAAUUGGCGGAGAAUUCUCUUUAGGCGACUUUUGUAAGUGUUAAAGUGGUCUAUCAGUUUGUUUACACAAGUCUCUAAGGAUCAAUAAGCGUUGCCCAUCUACAGGUUUGAAGAUGAUGCAUCAUUGGGAUCGGGAUUAGAGAGCUUGUAGUUAUAUUUGUUUAAUUAAGUGAUUUAAUUUGUUAAUUUGGACUUGAAAUUUGUCGUA
Spinacia oleracea (spinach) is the source of this 2793-nucleotide long non-coding RNA. RefSeq lists it as uncharacterized. The record is from RefSeq and is a predicted model, not a curated record. The transcript has 3 exons. NCBI's taxonomy places the organism in Eukaryota, Viridiplantae, Streptophyta, Magnoliopsida, Caryophyllales, Amaranthaceae.